AGUUUGAUAAAGUUAGAUGGGAGUUUAAUUCAGCUUCAUUACAGAAUUGAGGUUAAAUUUGUGCCAGCAGCCGCGGUUAUACUGGUGUAAUUAGUAGAGGUAGUUAGGUGCACAGUGAAGAGCUAUUAAGGUUAUCAGGGAUCUCGGGGCUAAUAAGGUGAAAUUUGUAUUAUUAAAGGGGUUUGAUAGCUUUAUUUUUACUGAGGCUGUGAAAGUUGGAGUAAAGAAUAGGAUUAGAUACCCUAGUAUGUUUUACUGAAAUUAUUAAGGCUUGGUUAGUAUUAGUUAUAUUCUUGAAAUUUAAAGAAUUUGGCGGCAUUUUAGCCUGGUUAGAGGAACCUGUCUCUUAAACGAUAAACCACGAAAUAUCUUACUUUUCUUUGUCACUCAGCAUGUAUACCGUCAUUUAUAAAACAAUUUCUAUAGAAAUUAGUUAAAAUAAGUUUGUAAUUUGCAAAAUUAGAUCAAGGUGCAGCUAAUGGAAAAGUGAAGAUGGGUUACAAUAGCUUUAAGCUAUACGGAUCAAAAGUGUAAGUGAGUUUUGUGAAGGAGGAUUUAACAGUAAAAUAGAGUUAGUAAGUUUAUUUGAUGGUGGUUCUGAAAUGUGUACACAUCGCCCGUCGCUCUCACAACAAUGUGAGAUAAGUCGUAACAUAGUAGGUGUACUGGAAAGUGUACCUGGUCUUGUAAGUUUGAAAU
RNAcentral lists this ribosomal RNA (699 nucleotides) under Typhlopatsa pauliani. RNAcentral describes it as "12S ribosomal RNA". It matches the Rfam family "Microsporidia small subunit ribosomal RNA", at positions 333 to 1311 of the family's 1311-position model. Lineage: Eukaryota; Metazoa; Arthropoda; Malacostraca; Decapoda; Atyidae. The record is from RNAcentral.